AGCGGCGGACGGGUGAGUAACGCGUGGGUAACCUGCCUCAUACAGGGGGAUAACAGUUGGAAACGGCUGCUAAUACCGCAUAAGCGCACAGUACCGCAUGGUGCGGUGUGAAAAACUCCGGUGGUAUGAGAUGGACCCGCGUCUGAUUAGGUAGUUGGUGGGGUAACGGCCUACCAAGCCGACGAUCAGUAGCCGACCUGAGAGGGUGACCGGCCACAUUGGGACUGAGACACGGCCCAA
RNAcentral lists this ribosomal RNA (240 nucleotides) under uncultured bacterium. RNAcentral's name for it is "partial 16S ribosomal RNA". It matches the Rfam family "Bacterial small subunit ribosomal RNA", at positions 94 to 334 of the family's 1533-position model. The record is from RNAcentral.